ACCCAGGGGAGAGGAAAGGUAAGAUGUAAGCUGCUGGUCACCACCCUGAAACUGCAUCAAGCUUAGGAAUGAACAGGGAAAGCACAACCAAGAGAUGGUGACAUCUUUGAGAAACAGCUGGUGUCAGAGAACUCUACAAAUAUGGCAAAUCAUCACAUGGGACUUUAUCCAUGGAGGCGAGAAUCCUCUUGCAUUGGAAGCUGGUAUGCUGAUGAUGUCAUGGUGGCUCAACUUUCCUGGUGUCUAAGAGGAGUGUCAGAGAGCAACCCUAACAUGGAUGUGUUGGGUGACCGUAGAUUUUCAAAGGGGUCUGUGAAAUUUUAGAGUCAUCUUUUGACAGUUGGUAAAACUGAGACCUCAGUUGGAAAACGGACUUAUCCCAGUAUACACAAGGAGUGACAGAACUGGGUUCAGAUCCAAGAUCACCUGACCCCAGUCCCACUGCUCUUUGACUACAUCACACUGAGCUAACUCAUCCCUGCAACAUGCACCAAGAAUCUUCCAGGGUUAAAUUGCAGGGUAUAACAUGCACAGCUCAGAGUGUUUGGGAAUAGUUUGGAAAAUCAUCACGUGCCACGUAUAUCAUCGACUUUAACCUCAGACCUCUGUAUCUUGUCAUUUCUUUGAAGUUUGUAUCAUUGAUAGUUACCACUGAUCUGCCACUCUGUUCAUCUUCUGUGAAUGAAAACUUAUCCCACAGCAUUGCAUUUAGACCUGGUCCAGUCUGCCUUUACCUGGCCUCACCCCAGGCUUCCACAGAUGCUUAAGGUGUUUGGGCAUUUGUCCCUCACUGCUUUGGUUGCAAUAAUCAGUUCAAAAUAAAACUGACCACAGCUAACCUACACAAAAAAAUGGGUUAAUGAGUAAACAUUCACAGAGGAAUCAAACUGUCCCGAUAAAAUUCAGAUCAAUCAAAUUUGAAACAGGAAAAUUUGACCUAGUAGAAAUAAAACUACAAUGGAAAAUUCAUAAUGGCAGGAGCUAAAAUUUGACCCAAAUAAAUUACUGUCAAUAAAUUACAAGCUAUCAUUGUGAAAUUUCACAUGCAAAAGAAUUACUCUCCAUAAAAUGAUUUCAAUAAAAUAAAAAAGAAGAUGGAAAAAGGUAGAAAUUAUUUAACUGCUCUGUAUCGAACACUUAUCUUGGAGUGAAACUGAGUAAGCAUUAAUUAAGAAAAUACUUUCUUGAGAAAAAUGUGGCUAUUAUUGGUGUUUUUUAUGUUGUACUUACA
Molecule: long non-coding RNA, 1231 nt
Organism: Cebus imitator (Panamanian white-faced capuchin)
Lineage: Eukaryota; Metazoa; Chordata; Mammalia; Primates; Cebidae
Exons: 3
Source: RefSeq, a predicted model, not a curated record